This 918-nucleotide ribosomal RNA is filed under the name uncultured bacterium. RNAcentral describes it as "bacterial SSU rRNA". It matches the Rfam family "Bacterial small subunit ribosomal RNA", at positions 246 to 1155 of the family's 1533-position model. The record is from RNAcentral.
UAGUUGGUGAGGUAAAGGCUCACCAAGGCGACGAUCUGUAGCGGGUCUGAGAGGAUGAUCCGCCACACUGGAACUGAGACACGGUCCAGACUCCUACGGGAGGCAGCAGUGGGGAAUUUUGGACAAUGGGGGCAACCCUGAUCCAGCCAUGCCGCGUGAGUGAAGAAGGCCUUCGGGUUGUAAAGCUCUUUCGGCCGGGAAGAAAUCGCACAGGCCAAUACCCUGUGUGGAUGACGGUACCGGAAUAAGAAGCACCGGCUAACUACGUGCCAGCAGCCGCGGUAAUACGUAGGGUGCGAGCGUUAAUCGGAAUUACUGGGCGUAAAGCGUGCGCAGGCGGUUUUGUAAGACAGGCGUGAAAUCCCCGGGCUCAACCUGGGAACUGCGCUUGUGACUGCAAGGCUAGAGUACGGCAGAGGGGGGUGGAAUUCCACGUGUAGCAGUGAAAUGCGUAGAGAUGUGGAGGAACACCGAUGGCGAAGGCAGCCCCCUGGGCCGAUACUGACGCUCAUGCACGAAAGCGUGGGUAGCAAACAGGAUUAGAUACCCUGGUAGUCCACGCCCUAAACGAUGUCAACUAGGUGUUGGGUGGGUAAAACCAUUUAGUACCGUAGCUAACGCGUGAAGUUGACCGCCUGGGGAGUACGGCCGCAAGGUUAAAACUCAAAGGAAUUGACGGGGACCCGCACAAGCGGUGGAUGAUGUGGAUUAAUUCGAUGCAACGCGAAAAACCUUACCUACCCUUGACAUGUCCGGAAUCCCUGAGAGAUUGGGGAGUGCCCGAAAGGGAAUCGGAACACAGGUGCUGCAUGGCUGUCGUCAGCUCGUGUCGUGAGAUGUUGGGUUAAGUCCCGCAACGAGCGCAACCCUUGUCGUUAAUUGCCAUCAUUUAGUUGGGCACUUUAGCGAGACUGCCGG